This 1258-nucleotide ribosomal RNA is filed under the name Dorypteryx domestica. RNAcentral's name for it is "16S ribosomal RNA". The stretch from base 1014 to 1172 matches the Rfam family "Archaeal large subunit ribosomal RNA", at positions 2544 to 2703 of the family's 2987-position model. The record is from RNAcentral. Lineage: Eukaryota; Metazoa; Arthropoda; Insecta; Psocodea; Psyllipsocidae.
AGAUUUAAAAAUUAUUUUUUUUUAGUAUAAAAUGUUUUAUAAAAAAUAUUUUUUUGUUUUAGUAAAUAAAAUUGAAUUGAUGUUUUCUUGAUAGUUAAGAAGUAUAUUAAUAGGAAUUUAAACAUUAAGAAUAAGUAAAUUUUUUUUAUUGUACCUUUUGUAUCAGGGUUUAAUUAAUAAAAAAAGAUGAAUUCUGUUUUCCCGAAUUAAAAAGAUUUAUUUUAAUUUGUUUUUUAAUGUAACAAAUUUUGUUUAAAAUUAAAAUGGGAGCGAAAAGUUAAUCGUGUUUUAAUAUAUCUGGUUAACAAAUAAAUAAAUUUAAUUUAGUUUGAAUUAUGUUAAAUUUAAAAUUUAUUAAUUAAAGUAUAUUUCAUAUAAUUUUAUUAAAUAUAAUUUUAAUAAAAGUUUUAAUAUGAUUAAAAUGAUUUUUGAUUUAGUUAUGAAUAAAAUUUUCUUUUCAGUUUGUAAAAAAUGAUUUCGUAGUUUUUUUUAUUUUUAAUUUCAUUUAAUUUGAAUUUGUUAAUUAAAUUUAAUUUUUUAUUUUAAAUUUUAUUUUAAAAUUAGUAUAAUUUUUAUUUGUAAUUAAUUGUUAUUUAUUUAAUAGUAACUUGGCAAAUAUAAUUUUUACCUGUUUAUCAAAAACUUUUCUUAAAUGAAUUURAUUAUUAAUUCCAAUCUGCUCACUGAAUUUUAAAGAGCCGCGGUAAAUUGACUGUGCUAAGGUAGCAUAAUAAUUUGUCUUUUAAUUGGAGACUGGAAUGAAUGAUUAAAUAUAAAAUUUUCUUUCUUUUAUUUAAUUUAAAAUUUAAUUUUAAAGUUAAAAAUCUUUAAUUUUUUUAAGGGACGAGAAGACCCUAUAGAUUUUUAUUAGUAGAGGUUAAUUAAUUUUUAUAGUUAAUUUUAAAAUAAUUUGACUGGGGUGGUUAAAAAAUUUGAUUUGCUUUUUUUUUGUUUUUAUUGAUAAGUAUAUUUUAUGAUCCUUGAUUUUGAUUAAUAGAAUAAAUUACCUUAGGGAUAACAGCGUAAUUUUUUUGGAAAGUUCAUAUAGAAAAAAGAGAUUGCGACCUCGAUGUUGAAUUAAGAAUUUGUUUAUAAGGAGAAAUAUAAAUAAAUAGUCUGUUCGACUAUUAAAAUCUUACAUGAUUUGAGUUCAGACCGGCGUAAGCCAGGUCAGUUUCUAUCUUUAAAAAAUAAUUGGUGUUUAGUACGAGAGGAUUAACAUUGUAUAUUUAAUAUUAUUUAAAAAUUUAAUUUAUUU